Long non-coding RNA from Notolabrus celidotus (New Zealand spotty), 255 nucleotides. RefSeq lists it as uncharacterized. The record is from RefSeq and is a predicted model, not a curated record. The transcript has 2 exons. Lineage: Eukaryota; Metazoa; Chordata; Actinopteri; Labriformes; Labridae.
UACAUACUGAUUUUUGGACAUAUCAGUACGUACUGCUGGUAUAGUAGGCGAUUUCGGAAACAGCCCUGGUCUUCACUCCACUACUCUGCCAGAUAAUUCCGUCUUGUUCGGUACUCCGGUGUGCCUCACUGCCUCGACUGAUCCUUGCCUGUGUUCCCUGCAUCGCCAUCAGGAUCAACUUUUCUGGCCAGCAAGCUCCCUGCCUUCACUACCUGUUCUGUUUUUUGAACAUUAAAUGGUUUAUUUUUACAUUUA